UCAGUGGCGAACGGGUGAGUAACACGUGAGCAACCUGCCCCUGACUCUGGGAUAAGCGCUGGAAACGGCGUCUAAUACUGGAUACGAGACGUGACCGCAUGGUCAACGUUUGGAAAGAUUUUUCGGUUGGGGAUGGGCUCGCGGCCUAUCAGCUUGUUGGUGAGGUAAUGGCUCACCAAGGCGUCGACGGGUAGCCGGCCUGAGAGGGUGACCGGCCACACUGGGACUGAGACACGGCCCAGACUCCUACGGGAGGCAGCAGUGGGGAAUAUUGCACAAUGGGCGGAAGCCUGAUGCAGCAACGCCGCGUGAGGGAUGACGGCCUUCGGGUUGUAAACCUCUUUUAGCAGGGAAGAAGCGAAAGUGACGGUACCUGCAGAAAAAGCGCCGGCUAACUACGUGCCAGCAGCCGCGGUAAUACGUAGGGCGCAAGCGUUAUCCGGAAUUAUUGGGCGUAAAGAGCUCGUAGGCGGUUUGUCGCGUCUGCUGUGAAAUCUGGGGGCUCAACCCCCAGCCUGCAGUGGGUACGGGCAGACUAGAGUGCGGUAGGGGAGAUUGGAAUUCCUGGUGUAGCGGUGGAAUGCGCAGAUAUCAGGAGGAACACCGAUGGCGAAGGCAGAUCUCUGGGCCGUAACUGACGCUGAGGAGCGAAAGGGUGGGGAGCAAACAGGCUUAGAUACCCUGGUAGUCCACCCCGUAAACGUUGGGAACUAGUUGUGGGGUCCAUUCCACGGAUUCCGUGACGCAGCUA
RNAcentral lists this ribosomal RNA (751 nucleotides) under Microbacterium profundi. Its description in RNAcentral is "bacterial SSU rRNA". It matches the Rfam family "Bacterial small subunit ribosomal RNA", at positions 92 to 854 of the family's 1533-position model. Lineage: Bacteria; Bacillati; Actinomycetota; Actinomycetes; Micrococcales; Microbacteriaceae. The record is from RNAcentral.